GGAAAGGCAGCAUCCCCGGAGGAGCAGAGUGGGGUGCACCCAGGCCUGGCUGGGUAUUGGGGCCACAGGGCUGGCUUUUCACACCAUGACAUGGGGCACAACGAGCAGGAGAAGGCUUUGUGGCUUUGGUUUGCACUGCGGGGUUGGGGCGCAGGUGCUGCAGCCCGCUGUGCUUUAAUAGAGCUGCUGCUGCUCCAAGGUGAUUGCUACUUUAUUGGCUUGUUUUUAGCCGUGCGGCCGAGCUGAGAGGAAGAUGGAUGGGGCUCAUCUUGGGUGAGACUUCUGCUGCAAAGCAGGAUGCUCACGGGCACCUGGCUGGGGAAUGGUCCCAGGGCUGGGCACUCAGU
RNAcentral lists this long non-coding RNA (347 nucleotides) under Gallus gallus (chicken). The record is from RNAcentral. Lineage: Eukaryota; Metazoa; Chordata; Aves; Galliformes; Phasianidae.